GUUGAAACAUUAGUCCUCGUACGAUCUUCGAGGUUAAGCAACGUCGAGUCUGGCUAGUACUAGAUGAGUGGCCGCUUGGGAAUAUCAGGUGCUGUAA
Acanthosepion pharaonis is the source of this 97-nucleotide non-coding RNA. Lineage: Eukaryota; Metazoa; Mollusca; Cephalopoda; Sepiida; Sepiidae. The record is from the annotation of a GenBank genome assembly.